Molecule: long non-coding RNA, 1543 nt
Filed under: Manacus vitellinus (golden-collared manakin)
Lineage: Eukaryota; Metazoa; Chordata; Aves; Passeriformes; Pipridae
Description: lncRNA (ENSMVIG00005006361.1)
Source: RNAcentral
AUGCCAGAGGCUUCUGGGUCGAGUUUGAGGUGGGUGGGUUGUGUUGGAGGGGAAGAAAAGCCCCCUGAGUGUCUCGGCGGGUGUUUGGUUCACACCAGAGCCAAGCACCGGGCUGGGAGAUCCCUCUUUGACUUGAGGCAGCUCUGUCCAGCCCCACUCCCAUCCCAUCCCAUCCCUUCCCUCCGAGGUGGAAAGGACAACACAAGGACCGUGGCCGAGACCUCUCCUGGCCGUGAUGGGAGGAGAUCUGGCCCUUGGGUGGGCAGCUUGGCUUUCAGCUCCAGAGGUGUCCAGAGAAGUCCGAGGGGUUGGGCUAAGGAAGGGGAAGGGGCAGGUGUGGGUUUGCCAGGUGGCUUUGCGGGUUGUGCCUCUUUGGAAGGUCGAAGGGAAGUGUGAAGGGAGCGCUGGGGAGGCUGCCCUUGCCAGCCCUUGGUGGGGGCCAGGAGGAGGGAGGCAGGUUUGGAGCCAAGGGAAGCACUUGAGGUCGGAUUUGCCGUCAGCCAAGCUGCCAAAUUCCCCCCCUUCCCAGGAGCAUCCCAGUGGAUAGUUUCCACACUCACCACGGGGUGCUCAGCUUGAUUUAACCCGAAAGAAACCCCCCAAUCUUCCAGGAGAUGCCAUUCCCAUCCAGACCUUGCCUUCGGGGUGGUAACACAGCCAACCCAAAAGGAAGGUCUCAGGAGCCUCUGCGUGCACCAAAUCCCUCAGGCAGAGGCUCAGGUGGUUUUUCCAGGCUGGAAAUUCGGAGUGGGACACCACCAGCUGAGAUUUCAGGCGUUUCCUUGUCCCCGACGGAGAGAAAACUUUCCCGGUGAUAAAAGGAUGGCAGCCAAAAUCCCAAAGGGAUUAAACACAAACCUAAGCCCAGUGGGAAGGGGGGGAAUCUCCCAGGGACAAACAUUUCGGGAGAGGCGAUGGCAGUGGAGGUGUCCUUGGUCUUUGGGGACCAAGGAUGAGCUCUGGCAGGACCUGGGGACGAGGGAAGGAGGUGGAUGGUCCAGAGGGGGAAACCCCAUCACCGGGUGCUCUCCAGGAUCCCCCUUUUCCAUCUGAGACCCACGUUUGGGAUAGAGGAGGCUGGAAAAAGGGGAAACCUGGAGAAAGGGAACAACAAGCUUAGAAGGUCUGGUUAAAGCUCCAGAGAACAAAACCUCUGGGGUAGAUUUUUCCAGAAGGGCUCGGUCCUGCUUGUUCUGAACCAGUGAAAAAGGUUUGGCUGAAAUUUUUCUUUUAACUUCCAAGGUCAUUACAAAGUGAAAACCAAACAUUGCUUUUGAGUGAGUGGUUGAUUGGAGAGAGGUAAUGUAAGAUGCAGACAUCCAUUAUAUAUAUAUUUACAUCAUGUGUGUAUAUAUAAUGUUUGUGUGGGUGAGUAUUUAAUCCGGGCAGAAGUUAAGUCAGGCUUUGUUUUUUUUCCAUUCCUAACUAAUAUAACUUGACUCAAAAAAAAAAAAAAAAAAAAGAGAAAAAAAAAGAAAAAAAAAAAGUUGCUGCAGUGGGUUUGCAGAAUAAAGCACUUUGAAUCUCAGAAUUGUUUGUUUUU